AUUGAACGCUGGCGGCAGGCCUAACACAUGCAAGUCGAGCGGAUGAAGGGAGCUUGCUCCUGGAUUCAGCGGCGGACGGGUGAGUAAUGCCUAGGAAUCUGCCUUGUAGUGGGGGAUAACGUCCGGAAACGGGCGCUAAUACCGCAUACGUCCUGAGGGAGAAAGUGGGGGAUCUUCGGACCUCACGCUAUCAGAUGAGCCUAGGUCGGAUUAGCUAGUUGGUGGGGUAAAGGCCUACCAAGGCGACGAUCCGUAACUGGUCUGAGAGGAUGAUCAGUCACACUGGAACUGAGACACGGUCCAGACUCCUACGGGAGGCAGCAGUGGGGAAUAUUGGACAAUGGGCGAAAGCCUGAUCCAGCAAUGCCGCGUGUGUGAAGAAGGUCUUCGGAUUGUAAAGCACUUUAAGUUGGGAGGAAGGACAGUAAGUUAAUACCUUGCUGUUUUGACGUUACCAACAGAAUAAGCACCGGCUAACUUCGUG
This 484-nucleotide ribosomal RNA is filed under the name uncultured bacterium. RNAcentral's name for it is "partial 16S ribosomal RNA". It matches the Rfam family "Bacterial small subunit ribosomal RNA", at positions 30 to 507 of the family's 1533-position model. The record is from RNAcentral.